RNAcentral lists this unclassified non-coding RNA (387 nucleotides) under soil metagenome. Its description in RNAcentral is "partial contains 5.8S ribosomal RNA, internal transcribed spacer 2, and large subunit ribosomal RNA". The stretch from base 1 to 120 matches the Rfam family "5.8S ribosomal RNA", at positions 35 to 154 of the family's 154-position model. The record is from RNAcentral.
GAUGAAGAACGUAGCGAAAUGCGAUAAGUAAUGUGAAUUGCAGAAUUCAGUGAAUCAUCGAAUCUUUGAACGCACAUUGCGCCCAUUAGUAUUCUAGUGGGCAUGCCUGUUCGAGCGUCAUUAAUUCCACUUAAGCCCUGCUUAGUGUUGGGAAUCUACUCUAGUGGUGCUACCCUGGAGCUACCCCUGAAAGGGGGCUGGCCCGGUAGCUACCCUGUAGUUCCUCAAAGAUAGUGCGCGGAGUUGCGUGGUCCUCUGAGCUUAGUAACUAUACACCUAGCUUUUGAGUGUCACGCGGCGCCUGCCGUUUAAACCCCAUCUUUUAAUGGUUGACCUCGGAUCAGGUAGGAAUACCCGCUGAACUUAAGCAUAUCAAUAAGCGGAGGA